GUGAGGAAUAUUGGUCAAUGGGCGGGAGCCUGAACCAGCCAAGUCGCGUGAAGGAAGAAGGAUCUAUGGUUCGUAAACUUCUUUUGCAGGGGAAUAAAGUGCGGGACGUGUCCUGUUUUGUAUGUACCCUGAGAAUAAGGAUCGGCUAACUCCGUGCCAGCAGCCGCGGUAAUACGGAGGAUCCGAGCGUUAUCCGGAUUUAUUGGGUUUAAAGGGUGCGUAGGUGGUUUGAUAAGUCAGCGGUGAAAGUUUGCAGCUUAACUGUAAAAAUGCCGUUGAAACUGUCGGACUUGAGUGUAAAUGAGGUAGGCGGAAUGUGUGGUGUAGCGGUGAAAUGCAUAGAUAUCACGCAGAACUCCGAUUGCGAAGGCAGCUUACUAAGCUACAACUGACACUGAAGCACGAAAGCGUGGGGAUCAAACAGGAUUAGAUACCCGGGUAGUCC
This 445-nucleotide ribosomal RNA is filed under the name uncultured bacterium. RNAcentral describes it as "partial 16S ribosomal RNA". It matches the Rfam family "Bacterial small subunit ribosomal RNA", at positions 354 to 796 of the family's 1533-position model. The record is from RNAcentral.